CACGACACCCGUGUUCCGGGCGCGUUGGCCCGCUGGGAUCCUCAGUAGCGGACGUUUAGAACCUGCGUCCUGGACUCAGCCACUCGGACAGAUUGGAGACCUCUUGCAGCCACAAGUCCUGCAGGAGCAGAGGACACAGUGAUUUCUGAGUGUGAGGUCAGCCUGGUCUACAGAGCAGGUUCCAGGACAGCCAUGGCUACACAGAGAAACCCUGUCAUGAAAGACAACAAAAAAGCUGCCUGAAAUUCACGAGACAGAGAAGGCUGAAUUCACCACUGGAACCAGAGGAGGAGCUGCAGAGCCUGAGGAAGACAAGAUACAACCUUCUCUGCUGUAUUUAUGGAUUUGUCUCUACAGGUGCUCGGUAUGUGGCUCCCAUAUGUCUUCCCACCUAAGCAAGAUCUUCAACCAAGGUUUUUGUCUGCAGCAGAUAUCCCAGAAAUCCCUCUGUCUCCUGUUUGGGUUGUAAAAGAUUCUCUUCCCUAAGAUGAGCGAGAAAGAAGUGAUUCUCACUGAUGCCGUGGGAUUCCUCAAUGAGACUAAGGAAGAGGUAGGAAGUCUUCCUCAGGCCUUCUAGAGAAAAGAGCCAGGGAAUGCAGUCUGUAUCUUGGGCAUAUGGAUCAGCCUUUGCUGCUUCAGUGCUGGACUGUGGAGUGUCAGAGUCAAAGAACACGAGGAAUCGCCUGAAACCAUGCAAAGAUUUACUUUAUGUGUGUGCUUAUAUGUUUGUAAGCCAUGUGUGCGCAGGAUCCUGCAGAGGCUAGAAGAGGCGUUGUGAGCCACCUGAUGUGGGUACUUAGAACUAAACUUGGGUCCUCUGGAAAGACAGCAGGUUCUCUUAUAACAGCUGAGCCAUUUCUCUGGCCCCCAACACAUUAAUUUCAUACACAAGAAACUGAAAUUCAAAAAGAAGUGACCCAUUCAAGAUCAGGUAGGACAAAAGCCAGGGCCGCUUCUUUUUACCCCAUCAACAACAUGCCCAGAGAUGAAGUCAUGACUUAAAGGCACUUGCUCAUAAAGACAUCAUUCUUUGUGCCAAUAGUUCAAAGCACUUUAUUCUAUGAAAUAAUUUUUGAUAAAACAAGAUAUCACAGAUGUUAACUGAGACACUAUACACAGCAAUAAAACUUAUCAACUUAGAAGACUGGGUGAUUAGAUUAAGUAACAAAGUACACUAUUUAUUGACUAAAGCAAAUUCUAACCCUGUUGAAAUUGAUGAAAUGCCAUUAUAUAUAUAAAAAUAUAGUUCCUUGGUUUUUACUAUAUGAGAUGUACAAAAAUUAAAAUUAUAGUGAUAGAAAUUAGUACUAAAGUUUGUCUAUGUGUUAUAUUAUCUUCUAAGAAAAAAGGAGCACAUAAAAAUAAAGAAACAGCCAGACCUGGGAAGCAGAGGUGGGUGGAGUUCCGUGAGUUCAGUACCAGCCUCAUCUACACAGCAUUCCCAAGCAGCCAAAGACUGUCUAGAGGGGAAGCAGCAGCAACAGCUAGGGAAUCUGAUCUGCUGGCAAUCCCAGUUCCUCACCCUAUGACCCCAGGGGAAGAAAGGUGACUAACACUGAGAGUCCAUUUUGCAUAAAGUAUUUUCAGUCUCAGUUUCUUCAGGCACUACUAUGAACUUUCACAGACUGAGGCUUAUGAGUGCUCACAUUUCUUCCUCACAGUUUUGGUUAUCUGAGAUCAGGGUGUGCAGCAAUGAUGGCUAAUGUUAAUUGUCACCCUGACCACGUUUAGAAUCACCUGGACGGAAGGCCUCUGGACAGGCCAAUGAUUGCUCUGAUUAUGUUAACUGAUGUGGGAAGACCCUCUUAAUUGUAGGCGGAACUGUUGGUUCGCAGGCGGAUCAUGAGCUGAUCUGAGUACUGGCAUGCACACACACAUUCAUGGUUCUGUGUCAAAACACCAUGGCUAAAGCAACUUGGGGAAGAAAUAGUCUAUUUUAUCUUGGUAGGAACUCAAGGCAGAAACUGAAGCAGAAGCCAUGGAGGAACACUUGCUUUCCACGGCUUGCUUAGCCCACUUUCUUCUGUACCCCAGGAUCACCGUCCAAGGAUAGCACCAUUCUUGCCACAGCAAUCAUUAGUCAAGAAAAUGCCCCUCAAGCUUGCCUAGGAGCUGGUCAUUUUCUCAUUUGAGGUUCCCUCCUCUCUGAUGACUCUGCCUUCUGUUAAGUUGACUAAACACUAGCCGGCACACCGCUAUCCUACCAAACACUAGCCAGCACAUUGCUAUUCUCACGACAGAUGAGACUUUGGUUAAGUCUUUGUUGUAGUUUUGGCAUGUGGCGCUGUCUAUGUGCUGAGUGUUACAGCCUGAAUGGUACUUCCACCAUGGAGUCAGUUGUGCUAAGGUCAAGGGGCCCUGUUAUAAUCCCAGUCAUGUGACCCCUCUCAGAGAACAAAACCGCCAGCUGAAGAGCACAGCCUCAAGAGCUUUGAUCCCAGUACUUGGGAGGAAGAAUCAGGAGGAUCUCUGUGAUUUCAAGGCCAUUCUGGUCUACAUAGUAAGUUCCAAGACACCAGGACUUUUUACAUAGAAAAACCCUGUUUCGAAAAGAAAACCAUUUGCUUUGUGUGUGUGCAUGCGUGCAUGUACCAAGUGCACGCAUGUACAUAUACAACCACAGAGUGCACAUGUGGAGGUCAGACGACAACUUCCAAGUGUAUAAUUGUUCUUAUAAAAAAAAACCUGGGGUCAAAUAUUAGAGGGUGAAAGCUGAGAGAUCAGAGAAGCAGAGCAGUCAGCCACUAAGGAGACCUUUUAUCUCUACUGAAUCCUCAGACCAAAAGGGUGAACCUGUCCUCAGACUGUGUCCUCUGACUGCUUCAGACUGAGUCUCCAGACUGUACUGCUCUUGUCUCUUCCUGCCUUAUAUUCCUCUCUCCACCCAGCCUUCCUGCCUCCACCUCCCUAGUGCUGGGAAUAAAGGCAUGGGACUCCCAAGUACUGGGAUUAAAGGUGUGUACCACCACUGCCUGGCCUCUAGUGGUUUAGCUCUGCACUCUGAUCUUUAGGCAAGCUUCUUUGUUAACACACAAACAAAAUAAUGUAGUGACAUCCAAGAGUGAUUUUUCUUCAACUAUGUGGGCUCCAGGGAUCAAACUCAGUUGUGAUCAAGUUUGAAAGCAAUGGAUGAGUGUACCCCUUCCUCCACAGCCUCUCCAGCAAAGGCUAUCAUCGGUGCUUUUGAUUUUAGCCAUUCUGACAGGUGUAAGAUGAUAUCUCAAAGUUGUUUUGAUUUGCAUUUCCCUGAUUGCUAAUGAGGUUGAGCAUGACCUUAGGUGUCUUUUGGCCAUUUGAACUUCUUCUUUUGAGAAUUCUCUGUUCAGUUCAGUGCCCC
This is a long non-coding RNA of Alexandromys fortis (reed vole), 3337 nucleotides long. RefSeq lists it as uncharacterized. The record is from RefSeq and is a predicted model, not a curated record. Lineage: Eukaryota; Metazoa; Chordata; Mammalia; Rodentia; Cricetidae. The transcript has 3 exons.